AUUUAAUUGAUUAUUAUUUUUUUUUAUUUUUAUUAUGGUGGCGAAAGUAGUUAUUUUUUAUUAUUAUUUUAGAAAAAAUUUUUUUAAUGAUAGUUAAUUAGUACUGUGAAGGAAAUUUUUUAAAUUUUUAAAAGAAGAAGUGAUUUUGUACCUUGUGCAUCAGGGUUGAUUAAAUUUUAAAUAUUUAUUUAUUUUUCUCGAAUUUAAAAGAGCUAACUAUAUAUUAAUAUUAAUGUGGAAUAAUUACUUAAAAUAUUUAGUUAGAUGUGAAAUGCUAUUCGAUUUUAAAUAUAUCUAGUUUCUUAAGAAAAAAGUUUAAUUUUAUAGUUAGUGUUGAAUUUUCUUUUUUUUAAGUAAAUUUUUACUGAUUUUUUAUUUUUAAAGGGAUAAGCUUUUAAAAAAAAAAUUAUAAUAAAUAAAUUUAAUAAAUAAAUCGUAGGAUUAAUAUUUUCCAUAGAUAAAAGAAUGUUAUAAUUAAUUAUUAGUAACUUAUUAUUUAUAUUUUAUUUAAAUUUUAUAUUAAGAUUUUUUAUUUAAUUUUAUAUUAAAAUUAAUAAUGAUUAAAUUAGUAAAUAUUUUAUGUAUAUUAUUUUAUAUUAUUUAAGGUAAACUUAAGGAACUCGGCAAAUAUUCUUUUCACCUGUUUAUUAAAAACAUGUCCUUUUGAGUAUAAUUUAAGGUCUAGCCUGCCCACUGAGUAAUUAAAUGGCCGCGGUAUUUUGACCGUGCAAAGGUAGCAUAAUCAUUAGUUUUUUAAUUGAAAGCUGGUAUGAAUGGUUGGAUGAGAAAGAAGCUGUCUCAAGUUUAAUUUUUUUGAAUUUUAUUUUUAAGUUAAAAAGCUUAAAUAUUUUUAAAAGACGAGAAGACCCUAUAGAAUUUUAUAUUUUUAAAUUUAAAUUUUUAUGGAUUUUUAUUAUUUUUAAGUUUAAAUUUAUUUUGUUGGGGUGACGGAAAAAUUUAUUUAACUUUUUUUUUAUUUUUACAUUAAUUAAUGAUUAGUUGAUCCGAUUGUUUCGAUUAUAAGAUAAAAUUACCUUAGGGAUAACAGCGUAAUUUUUUUUGAGAGUUCUUAUCGAAAAAAGAGAUUGCGACCUCGAUGUUGGAUUAAAGUUAAUUUUUGGUGUAGCAGCUAUAAAAUUAAGUCUGUUCGACUUUUAAAACUUUACAUGAUCUGAGUUUAAACCGGUGUAAGCCAGGUUGGUUUCUAUCUUUAAAUUAUUGAAAUACCUUAGUACGAAAGGACCAGGUAUUUAAUUUAUUAAAUUUUUAUUAUGAAUACUAUU
Molecule: ribosomal RNA, 1283 nt
Filed under: Cleroidea sp. 4 KM-2017
Lineage: Eukaryota; Metazoa; Arthropoda; Insecta; Coleoptera
Description: 16S ribosomal RNA
Rfam family: Archaeal large subunit ribosomal RNA (bases 598-1283)
Source: RNAcentral